UGGGGAAUAUUGGACAAUGGGCGCAAGCCUGAUCCAGCAAUGCCGCGUGUGUGAAGAAGGCCUGCGGGUUGUAAAGCACUUUCGGUGGGGAGGAAGGCCUGAUGGUUAAUAGUCAUCAGGAUUGACGUUACCCACAGAAGAAGCACCGGCUAACUCUGUGCCAGCAGCCGCGGUAAUACAGAGGGUGCGAGCGUUAAUCGGAAUUACUGGGCGUAAAGGGCGCGUAGGCGGCGCGGUAAGUCACUUGUGAAAUCUCUGAGCUUAACUCAGAACGGCCAAGUGAUACUGCAGUGCUAGAGUGCAGAAGGGGCAAUCGGAAUUCUUGGUGUAGCGGUGAAAUGCGUAGAUAUCAAGAGGAACACCUGAGGUGAAGACGGGUUGCUGGGCUGACACUGACGCUGAGGCGCGAAAGCCAGGGGAGCAAACGGGAUUAGAUACCCCUGUAGUCCCUGAGCGGGCUGGCAAGGCGCAU
This 472-nucleotide ribosomal RNA is filed under the name uncultured bacterium. Its description in RNAcentral is "bacterial SSU rRNA". It matches the Rfam family "Bacterial small subunit ribosomal RNA", at positions 355 to 825 of the family's 1533-position model. The record is from RNAcentral.